GAACCUCCGGGGGCAAGAGGUUCGACUCGAGCGAAGCGAGAGAACGUUGCGUCAGCAACGGCCCGCAGUGGCAAGUCAUCCUCUGUCACCGGCAG
Molecule: small RNA, 95 nt
Filed under: Salmonella enterica subsp. enterica serovar Enteritidis
Lineage: Bacteria; Pseudomonadati; Pseudomonadota; Gammaproteobacteria; Enterobacterales; Enterobacteriaceae
Description: partial RtT sRNA
Rfam family: RtT RNA
About the family: This family represents a bacterial cis-regulatory element known as RtT RNA.
Source: RNAcentral